This 685-nucleotide long non-coding RNA is filed under the name Olea europaea (common olive). Its description in RNAcentral is "long non-coding RNA (OEUR_LNC008620)". Lineage: Eukaryota; Viridiplantae; Streptophyta; Magnoliopsida; Lamiales; Oleaceae. The record is from RNAcentral.
CCUUUUUCUUCGCUUUACUAGCCUUCAUCUUCUUUGUUACCAUCCUUUAUGGUGAAGAUUUCAGCUGUAUCUUUGGUCAACUUGAUUUUGAUCAACCUAGACACUUGCACCAAUCCAUUUCAGCCAGUAAGUUUUGCAUAUAUUUUGUAUUUCUAUGAAGUUUGUGUACAUCUAUCUACAUAUUACUAAAAUAGUUGAUUUUUCUUUAUUGAUAGAGAAGAAAAGCGAGAAGUUACCUUUUGCCAUUGGUGAGACGGAAAGAGGCUGCGAUAUUUUUAAUGGGAGGUGGGUAUGGGAUAAGGAGAGUCGGCCGCUUUACGAGGAAGACGAGUGUCCGUAUAUUCAGCCGCAGCUAACAUGUCAAGAACAUGGCAGACCGGACAAGGAUUAUCAGCACUGGAGAUGGCAGCCUAAUGGCUGUUCCCUUCCAAGGUUUCUUAGUUCAUUUAUUUUGGCUUUCUUAUUAAUAUUACAAUGUGGUAGAAUUCGACUCACUUUGAACGACCAAGAAAAUAAUUAUAAAAGAUCGUCACAUAGUUGAUUAUAAAUUUAUUUAAAAUAGAAGAAAUUUGUAAACGUAAAUUUAUUCUCAAAUGAAUUAUUGCUCUUAAUUAAUAAAUAUUAAAGUACAAAUUUCACUAUACAAUAUUACUUACAAAAGGAAAGAUGAAAUUGAUCAUGUGCU